RNAcentral lists this ribosomal RNA (492 nucleotides) under uncultured bacterium. Its description in RNAcentral is "partial 16S ribosomal RNA". It matches the Rfam family "Bacterial small subunit ribosomal RNA", at positions 29 to 507 of the family's 1533-position model. The record is from RNAcentral.
AGUGAACGCUGGCGGUAGGCCUAACAUAUGCGAGUCGAACGGCAGCACAGUAAGAGCUUGCUCUUACGGGUGGCGAGUGGCGGACGGGUGAGGAAUACAUCGGAAUCUACUUUUUCGUGGGGGAUAACGUAGGGAAACUUACGCUAAUACCGCAUACGACCUACGGGUGAAAGCAGGGGAUCUUCGGACCUUGCGCGAUUGAAUGAGCCGAUGUCGGAUUAGCUAGUUGGCGGGGUAAAGGCCCACCAAGGCGACGAUCCGUAGCUGGUCUGAGAGGAUGAUCAGCCACACUGGAACUGAGACACGGUCCAGACUCCUACGGGAGGCAGCAGUGGGGAAUAUUGGACAAUGGGCGCAAGCCUGAUCCAGCCAUACCGCGUGGGUGAAGAAGGCCUUCGGGUUGUAAAGCCCUUUUGUUGGGAAAGAAAAGCAGCAGGUUAAUACCCCGCUGUUCUGACGGUACCCAAAGAAUAAGCACCGGCUAACUUCGUG